CCACGCCCGAAGUCGUUACCCCAACCGAAAGGGGGGGGAUGCCUAAGGUAGGACUGAUGACUGGGGUGAAGUCGUAACAAGGUAGCCGUACCGGAAGGUGUGGCUGGAUCACCUCCUUUUAGGGAGACCUAAUCCAUUUAGAAAUCGAAAACAAUGAAAAUUGUCAAUAGAAACUAAAUUGGUCUAACCUAGGUCGUUCGAGAUUGGUAGAUAUCUUUCAAAGUAUUAUUCGGCUUCGUUCAAAACCAUAUAUAAUAAAUGGAAAAAGACAGCACCUAAUUGUCAAAGUUAGACUGCUGGAUGAAAUUCCAGCCAGAACCUUGAAAACUGCAUAAGAGAACGAGAAAAAGCAGGCAGACACAGACAUUUAGAUGGAUGUGAAAGCAAAGAAAUUGUGGUCAAGCUAAUAAGGGCUAAUGGUGGAUACCUAGGCACGCAGAGG
This 442-nucleotide unclassified non-coding RNA is filed under the name uncultured Nostocaceae cyanobacterium. RNAcentral's name for it is "partial contains 16S ribosomal RNA, 16S-23S ribosomal RNA intergenic spacer, and 23S ribosomal RNA". The stretch from base 1 to 119 matches the Rfam family "Bacterial small subunit ribosomal RNA", at positions 1415 to 1533 of the family's 1533-position model. Lineage: Bacteria; Bacillati; Cyanobacteriota; Cyanophyceae; Nostocales; Nostocaceae. The record is from RNAcentral.